Long non-coding RNA from Zonotrichia leucophrys gambelii, 378 nucleotides. RefSeq lists it as uncharacterized. Lineage: Eukaryota; Metazoa; Chordata; Aves; Passeriformes; Passerellidae. The transcript is spliced from 3 exons. The record is from RefSeq and is a predicted model, not a curated record.
CCCAGGUGGGGUAUGGCCCAUCUGGUGCAACACAAAAUGAAAAGGGACAGAUAUGGGAAUUGAAGUCCUGCAGAGCAUUCCCAGGCAGAUACAGAGACUGAUUUUGUUCAAGUUCCCUCUUGCAAGAAGCAAAUGACAGGAAACCAGUACAGAGUGUUAUUAGAUUGAAGGGAGUCCUGCUGGCACAUGCAUCUGAGGACCAAAGCUGUAGACUGAGGGAAGACCCUGGUAAACCAGGGCAAGCUCAACAGAGCCCUGCAGGGCUAGACCAACAUCCCCACCACUGGAAGGAACUUGAUCAUGGUUCUUCACCCACCAGGGACUCACCUGCUUCAUCUCCCAUCUCUCCAUAUGCCACAGGCACUGAUACAUCCAUGU